UGGGGAAUUUUGGACAAUGGGCGAAAGCCUGAUCCAGCAAUGCCGCGUGUGUGAAGAAGGCCUUCGGGUUGUAAAGCACUUUUGUCCGGAAAGAAAUCCUUGGCUCUAAUACAGUCGGGGGAUGACGGUACCGGAAGAAUAAGCACCGGCUAACUACGUGCCAGCAGCCGCGGUAAUACGUAGGGUGCAAGCGUUAAUCGGAAUUACUGGGCGUAAAGCGUGCGCAGGCGGUUUGCUAAGACCGAUGUGAAAUCCCCGGGCUCAACCUGGGAACUGCAUUGGUGACUGGCAGGCUAGAGUAUGGCAGAGGGGGGUAGAAUUCCACGUGUAGCAGUGAAAUGCGUAGAGAUGUGGAGGAAUACCGAUGGCGAAGGCAGCCCCCUGGGCCAAUACUGACGCUCAUGCACGAAAGCGUGGGGAGCAAACAGGAUUAGAUACCCCUGGUAGUCCACGCCCUAAAACGAUGUCAACUAGUUGUUGGGGAUUCAUUCCUUAGUAACGUAGCUAACGCGUGAAGUUGACCGCCUGGGGAGUACGGUCGCAAGAUUAAAACUUAAAUGAAUUGAC
Molecule: ribosomal RNA, 567 nt
Filed under: uncultured bacterium
Lineage: Bacteria
Description: partial 16S ribosomal RNA
Rfam family: Bacterial small subunit ribosomal RNA
Source: RNAcentral